UAAACGGCGGUGGUAACUAUAACCAUCCUAAGGUAGCGAAAUUCCUUGUCGGGUAAGUUCCGACCUGCACGAAUGGCGUAACGACUUCCCCACUGUCUCGACCAGGAGCUCGGCGAAAUUGCAGUACGAGUAAAGAUGCUCGUUAAGCGCAGAAGGACGAAAAGACCCCGGGACCUUUACUAUACCUUGGUAUUGGCAUUCGGUGUGGAUUGUGUAGCAUAGGCGGGAGGCCGAGAGGCGCGGUCGCCAGAUCGCGCGGAGCCGUAAGGUGAAAUACCGCUCUGUUCGCAUUGGAUGUCUAACCUCGAACAGUCAUCCUGUUCAGGGACAGUGCCUGGCGGGUAGUUUAACUGGGGCGGUUGCCUCCCAAAGAGUAACGGAGGCGCCCAAAGGUCCGCUCAGCCCGGUUGGCAAUCGGGUGGCGAGUGCAAGUGCACAAGCGGGCUUGACUGCGAGGACGACGGUCCGAGCAGGGACGAAAGUCGGGACUAGUGAUCCGGUGCCGGUGUACGGACGCGGCAUCGCUCAACGGAUAAAAGGUACCCCGGGGAUAACAGGCUGAUCAUUCCCAAGAGUCCAUAUCGACGGGAUGGUUUGGCACCUCGAUGUCGGCUCGUCGCAUCCUGGGGCUGGAGCAGGUCCCAAGGGUUCGGCUGUUCGCCGAUUAAAGCGGCACGCGAGCUGGGUUCAGAACGUCGUGAGACAGUUUGGUCUCUAUCCUCUGCGCUCGUUGGAAUGCUGAGGAGGCCUGCCCAUAGUACGAGAGGACCUGGGUGGACGAACCUCUGGUAUGCCGGUUGUCACGCCAGUGGCACGGCCGGUUGGCUACGUUCGGAAGGGAUAACCGCUGAAAGCAUCUAAGCGGGAAGCCUGCUCCAAGAUAAGCAUUCCGUGGAACCUUCGAGUUCCUGUAGUCCCCAUGCAGAACACGUGGUCGAUAGGCCGGACGUGGAAGCCCCGCGAGGGGUGGAGCCGACCGGUACUAACGGACGAAAGGCAACACUGA
RNAcentral lists this ribosomal RNA (1006 nucleotides) under human gut metagenome. RNAcentral's name for it is "bacterial LSU rRNA". It matches the Rfam family "Bacterial large subunit ribosomal RNA", at positions 1924 to 2925 of the family's 2925-position model. The record is from RNAcentral.